Molecule: ribosomal RNA, 116 nt
Filed under: Escherichia coli
Lineage: Bacteria; Pseudomonadati; Pseudomonadota; Gammaproteobacteria; Enterobacterales; Enterobacteriaceae
Also listed under: 2 other names
Description: partial 16S ribosomal RNA
Rfam family: Bacterial small subunit ribosomal RNA
Source: RNAcentral
AAAUUGAAGAGUUUGAUCAUGGCUCAGAUUGAACGCUGGCGGCAGGCCUAACACAUGCAAGUCGAACGGUAACAGGAAACAGCUUGCUGUUUCGCUGACGAGUGGCGGACGGGUGA